AUUGAACGCUGGCGGCAGGCCUAACACAUGCAAGUCGAGCGGAUGAAGGGAGCUUGCUCCUGGAUUCAGCGGCGGACGGGUGAGUAAUGCCUAGGAAUCUGCCUGGUAGUGGGGGAUAACGUCCGGAAACGGGCGCUAAUACCGCAUACGUCCUGAGGGAGAAAGUGGGGGAUCUUCGGACCUCACGCUAUCAGAUGAGCCUAGGUCGGAUUAGCUAGUUGGUGGGGUAAAGGCCUACCAAGGCGACGAUCCGUAACUGGUCUGAGAGGAUGAUCAGUCACACUGGAACUGAGACACGGUCCAGACUCCUACGGGAGGCAGCAGUGGGGAAUAUUGGACAAUGGGCGAAAGCCUGAUACAGCCAUGCCGCGUGUGUGAAGAAGGUCUUCGGAUUGUAAAGCACUUUAAGUUGGGAGGAAGGGCAGUAAGUUAAUACCUUGCUGUUUUGACGUUAACAACAGAAUAAGCACCGGCUAACUUCGUG
Molecule: ribosomal RNA, 484 nt
Filed under: uncultured bacterium
Lineage: Bacteria
Description: partial 16S ribosomal RNA
Rfam family: Bacterial small subunit ribosomal RNA
Source: RNAcentral